This 492-nucleotide ribosomal RNA is filed under the name uncultured bacterium. RNAcentral describes it as "partial 16S ribosomal RNA". It matches the Rfam family "Bacterial small subunit ribosomal RNA", at positions 29 to 507 of the family's 1533-position model. The record is from RNAcentral.
AGUGAACGCUGGCGGUAGGCCUAACACAUGCAAGUCGAACGGCAGCACAGUAAGAGCUUGCUCUUACGGGUGGCGAGUGGCGGACGGGUGAGGAAUACAUCGGAAUCUACUUUUUCGUGGGGGAUAACGUAGGGAAACUUACGCUAAUACCGCAUACGACCUACGGGUGAAAGCAGGAGAUCUUCGGACCUUUCGCGAUUGAAUGAGCCGAUGUCGGAUUAGCUAGUUGGCGGGGUAAAGGCCCACCAAGGCGACGAUCCGUAGCUGGUCUGAAGGGAUGAACAGGCCAACUGGAAAUGAAGAAAGGUCCCGAAUCCUAAGGGAGGCAGGAGGGAGGAAUAUUGGAGAAUGGGGGGAAGCCUGAACCAGCCAUAGCGCGUGGGUGAAGAAGGCCUUCGGGUUGUAAAAACCUUUUGAUGAGAAAGAAACGAAGGAGGUUAAUACCACGCAGUUCUGAACGUAACCAAAGCAUAAGCCCCGGCUAAAUUAGUG